AAAAAUGGCUUCCAGCCAAGUUUGUUGAGGGAAGACAGCGGGAGAAGAAGGGAAGAGGGCGAUAAAAGCCGAAAAUAAAACCUCUCCUUCCCCUCCCCCUGUUCGUCGUUCUUCUCGGUUCGAUCCACUCGAGCAGCCCCAAAACCGGCCCGAUUCCUCCCCAAAUCCAAUCGACUCCCUGCCGAAAUCCGCCCUCCCACUGAUCGCCGCAAGCUCCCGGACCCGGAGCAAGCAAUUUCGCGCCGCAAGAACUGCUCGCCGUCCGUGGACAAAAGCCCUCGACCGACUCUCCCAACUUCUUUUCCUGUUCGUCCUGACCAUCGCCUUACGCGCCUCGCUGCCAUCGCCGUUGCAGUUCUUGCUCGUCUCGUCUGGACAUCCGCGUUCCUGCUAUCUGCACCCCGUCCGCGGCCUUUGGGUUUUGAGAUCCGCCCUUGAUGGCGGGGGAGGAGGCCGCGGAGGGAAGCGGGAACAGGAGGCGGAUGGAUCUAAACCUGUACCUGGGCCUCCCUCCAUUGCCGCGGCCUCCAGGUCGGCUGGGUGUAGCUAUGGAUUGCCCGCCGCCGGCCACCUCGGCCAUUCCGGUUCCGGAAUCUCCAAGAAUGGAUGAGCCUGCAGUACUACCGGCACCAGAGGAGAUGCCGCCACUGCCCGUUGUAUACUCGCCGUCCAAUGCGCUCUCCACGCCGGAGCUAUCGCUGAUAGAUCCGAUGCUAUUUGAUUGGCUUGAUGGCCUCAGUACGGACAGUGAAGAGGCUCUUGAUGCUGGUGAACCGGCUGUGGUGCGCGACGCGUCCUCACAUGAUGCCAAUGUCUCACCACCGCCGCCAGCGCCAUUGUCUCUUCCUGGGCUAGAAGGGGUUCGCCUUGAAUGGGUGGAAAGGCUUUCUCACCCUAUUCUGGUGACUCCUGCAGCCGGAGCAGAGAUGGUGAGCACGAGGGUGAUGAGGCAAUCUAUGGGGGCUGUGAAUGCAAUUGAAGACAUGACGCCUGAGCUCCGCCUGCAGAGGUUGAUCCAGGUGAGUGAACAGCACCGCAUUGUGCGGCCGGGGUCAGUGAACCGCAACCACCGGGCGACCAGCCCAGAAGCAGAAAGACUGGCGCAAGCCAUCCAGCGGUCUCAUAGCUCUCUAGAUGCAUCAAGGCGGCAGAAGCUCGAUGGUGAUGGCAAGAUGACAGGAAUUGGUGCUGUCAAGAAGGACGGGAACUGUGGGUGCAACUCCAGUUUCGAGUGCAAUAUCUGCCUUGAAGCGGCUAAAGAGCCCGUGGUUACACCGUGCGGCCACCUCUUCUGCUGGCCAUGCUUGUACCAGUGGCUCCAUGGACAUUCAGCCCACUCUGAGUGCCCUGUUUGCAAGGGAGAGGUGCUCGAAGUAAAUGUCACACCAAUAUAUGGAAGAGGAGGUGGUGAACGGGAUGCCUGCAGCAAUGAUGUUCCUCCCAGACCGCGCGCAAACAGGAGUGAGAGCUUGAGGCAGCAGCUGCAAAUGCCAGACCCAAGAGGCAUUGCAAGCAUGGUGAGACGGUUGAUAGAAAACCAGGAUAUAGUGAGAGGCCAGGCAGCUCCACCUGCAGGCGGGGUUGAGGUGACUGUACUUCCCGCAGCCCGGUCAAGGGCUAGGGUACGGAGACAGCAAAGACACAGUCUUGUUUCACCCUCCCCAAUAAUGCUGCGUGCAAGCAACGCAGCCCCUGAGAGUGGCAAUCAGGUCCGAUUGCCAUCUUCUAAUUCCGUUAAUGCUGCACCCGCAGUUACUCAGCAGUCGUCAUCCAUGGAGCAGGCAUCGACUUCUAGCACCCUGGCUGUUAUAGUGGGACAGGCAGCCCAAAGUAGGAGGUCCAGACCUUCGGAGUCCACAACCACAAGAAGAACAAGGAGGAGGCAGCAGCAGUAGGUAAAAGUGGUGCUGCCAUUUUCUCCAAUAAAACAUAUAUAGAUCAUGCUUUGUCUGUACCAUGUCAAGCUCCAAAAACAUAGUCAAGAUUAUAAGGUAGGAGUGUAUAUGCUAUUGCUUUGCUCAUGUAUACCUUUUUCAUGGAAAAGGAAUUAUUAGCAUGUAUGUGGGGAUAAAUUUCCCUGAUAUUGCAUCUGUUUAUUUUUCAGUGAAUUGUUAAUUGUUAUCUCUGUACUGUGUAUGCCAUUACGUUUCUUGGUACUACUUAGUUUAGAAAUUUGAAGAUAGUUAAUUUCCUCAGCUACAGCUUUUGUACUGUCAAGACUGAUGAAUGUAGCAACAAAUGCACCAUUGUUUUCUAUUUUAAGGUUUCCUCUUGUCUUAAUGACUUGAUCUAGUGUCCACAAAGAUUGGCAUCCAGAUCUUGGAUAAAUCUUUUUGUUUUUCCCAUGAUCUGAAAUGAUGGUCCAAUGUAAUUUGCAGUAUAAGUCACCGCGAAAAAAGAUGAAGAUAUUUUUCCUUUAAGCUCCUGCAAAACAUGAAAAGUUCUUCUGGAUUUGCCACCGCAGCCAGCUGUUUUGACAUUGUAUAAAGUGGAUAGUACACAAAUAGGUUGUCAAUGUUUGGAACAGGCAGCAGUACUCUACUUCUGUCCCAAACAAGCAACCAGCUGUCCAGUUUUAGUCGAGCAUCUCAUGGGGCACAUUGUCUGCCCCUGCAUAUCAAGAACCAGUCUCCCUCUGAGAAAAAAAAAGAACCAGCAUCGUUUUGCUGCAAACUGAAAGAUGACCAAAUUUGUUUGAACAGAUGAACAUUUGCUAUUUACAUUUCAGGAUUGUCAUUUGAUUACACCGAACAACAGGAAACACUAGAGUAUAUCACAGAUAUUCCGUGAGGUCCGAAAGUAUCACCAUUGGCAGUUCUGGAGAUCAAGAUGGUUGGAUGGGUCAGCGUCAAAAAGAGUUCAUAGAAUUCACCAGCUUCUCAAACCUUGUCCAUGUGCAAACCUCUGCAAGAAUGUCAGACUGCUCCUGGAUAUGCACAUGAAUACAUGAUUGCUCAUUUUCUGACCAGCAUCUGGGAACAAAGUAGCAAUAGAGAGCUACAAAUACUGUUAUGGGUAGUACAAUAUCUUCAGUACGUGUAACAUGUCUAUCUAGUCUCGCCGUAACUGUAAAAUGCUGAGUUUGUAAUUUUUCUUGGACGUGUUUGUCCAGCGACUGGUGUAAUUUCCCUUGGACCCUUCUAGUCUAGUUUUAAGUGAAAUGCAGAUCUCCUGCAAUGUUUACAGAAACAAAAUCAAAAUGGCAAUAAAAAAAACUUUACAUUCUAUCAAAAGACUCGUUGACCUAGCUGAUUGUUUUAUGCAACUCAUACACAAAGGAAACACCAGUUUCGAUAUUUUGACCAUGAAAGUUUUGGACAAGCUGCUUGGAUACCAAAAGAAAGGUGCACUUCAUCAAUUGGAUUGUGCACAUGUUCAUGUACCACUUCCACAGUCAAAUGACGAUUGAAUGCAUUGCGUGCAGAAGAAAUGGCUCAACUUAGCACUGAUGUUUCCUUUUCAUCCUAAUCCUUCAAAGCCCCAGCAGUUGGUUACUGCAUGGACAGUAUCAUGUCUUGUACUGUUCAAUCAGUCUCAGAAGGCUAUGUGUCUCGGCGUCAGGCAUUGCACCUCUUAAAAUCAUCGUCUUUACAAAAUCUG
This 3600-nucleotide ribosomal RNA is filed under the name Triticum aestivum (bread wheat). Its description in RNAcentral is "partial small subunit ribosomal RNA". The record is from RNAcentral. Lineage: Eukaryota; Viridiplantae; Streptophyta; Magnoliopsida; Poales; Poaceae.